GGGGGGGGACACACACAAAGCCAUUGGGAUGAGUGGGGGGGCACAGCACCAUAACCGCCCCCCCCCCAUAUCACAGCACCCCAUAGGGAUGGAGACAAUGGGGAACCCCAUAAGGACAGCCCCAAUGGGGGGACACAAAUGGGACCCCCCCCCAGGAGAAGCACAUUGUGCCAUAGAGACACUCAAAUGAUGCCCCCCCCACCCCAUGGCCAUAAGGGACCCUUUAUCCGCCCCCACCUCCCCCCCCCAACUGACGUCACUGUGCCCUAUAGCGUGGUUGUGGGGUGGGGGGGGGUCGUGGUGCCCCACAAUGGGCCCUUUGUGGAGGGCGGGGGUGGGGGGCACCGUGGGGCAGCGCUGUGGGGUGGAGCUGCCAUGGCCCCAAAUGGACCCUGGGGUGGGGGUGGGCAGAAACAGGCAGCUCCCAGUGCCACCAUACCAGUAUAGCCCAGUAUAUCCCAGUAUGUCCCAGUAUAUCCCAGUAUGUCCCAUUCCAUCCCAUAUAUCCCAUUAUAUCCCAGUGCCUCCAUCCCAGUAUAUCCCAGUAUAUCCCAUUCCAUCCCAUAUAUCCCAGUAUAUCCCAGUGCCUCCAUCCCAGUAUAUCCCAGUAUAUCCCAGUCCACCCCAGUGCAUCCCAGUGCCACUAUCCCAGUGUGUCCCAUCCCAUCCCAGUAUGUCCCAGUACAUCCCAGUGUGUCUCACCCCAGUACAUCCCAUCCCAUCCCAGUACAUCCAUCCCAGUAUGUCCCGGUCCCAUCAUCCCAGUAUAUCCCAGUCCAUCCCAUAUAUCCCAGUAUAUCCCAGUGCCAUCGUCCCAGUGUAUCCCAGUGCCUCCAUCCCAGUGUAUCCCAGUAUAUCCCAGUAUAUCCCAGCCCAUCCCAGCAUAUCCCAUUGCCACCCUCCCAGCAUAUCCCAGUGCCUCUGUUCCAGUAUAUCCCAUUGCCUCCAUCCCAGUAUAUCCCAGUGUAUCCCAGUACCACCCUCCCAGUAUAUUGCAGUGUAUACCAGUAUAUCUCAUUGCCACCAUCCCAGUAUAUCCCAGUACAUCCCAGUCCAUCCCAGUCCAUCCCAGUCCAUCCCAGUCCAUCCCAGUCCAUCCCAGUCCAUCCCAGUCCAUCCCAGUACAUCCCAGUAUCACCAUCCCAGUAUAUCCCAGUGUAUCCCAGUACCUCCUUCCUAGUGUAUCCCAUUGCCACCACCCCAGUGUAUCCCAGUGUAUCCCAGUACCACUCUCCCAGUAUAUCCUAUUGCCACCACCCCAGUAUAUCCCAGUAU
This 1275-nucleotide long non-coding RNA is filed under the name Coturnix japonica (Japanese quail). RNAcentral describes it as "lncRNA (ENSCJPG00005017864.1)". The record is from RNAcentral. Lineage: Eukaryota; Metazoa; Chordata; Aves; Galliformes; Phasianidae.